Molecule: small RNA, 36 nt
Filed under: Propionibacterium ruminifibrarum
Lineage: Bacteria; Bacillati; Actinomycetota; Actinomycetes; Propionibacteriales; Propionibacteriaceae
Description: Propionibacterium sp. JV5 CRISPR_Spacer
Source: RNAcentral
AAGCUCAACAAUUGCAUAAGGUUCGGGGCACUCAUC